RNAcentral lists this ribosomal RNA (775 nucleotides) under uncultured Sphingobacteriia bacterium. RNAcentral describes it as "bacterial SSU rRNA". It matches the Rfam family "Bacterial small subunit ribosomal RNA", at positions 562 to 1334 of the family's 1533-position model. Lineage: Bacteria; Pseudomonadati; Bacteroidota; Sphingobacteriia. The record is from RNAcentral.
AAAGGGUGCGUAGGUGGGCAAGUAAGUCAGUGGUGAAAUCUCUAGGCUUAACCCGGAAACUGCCAUUGAUACUAUUUGUCUUGAAUUCUCUGGAGGUAAGCGGAAUAUGUCAUGUAGCGGUGAAAUGCUUAGAUAUGACAUAGAACACCCAUUGCGAAGGCAGCUUACUACGGAGACAUUGACACUGAGGCACGAAAGUGUGGGGAUCAAACAGGAUUAGAUACCCUGGUAGUCCACGCCCUAAACGAUGAUUACUCGACAUUAGCGAUAUUACUGUUAGUGUCUAAGCGAAAGCAUUAAGUAAUCCACCUGGGAAGUACGACCGCAAGGUUGAAACUCAAAGGAAUUGGCGGGGGUCCGCACAAGUGGUGGAGCAUGUGGUUUAAUUCGAUGAUACGCGAGGAACCUUACCUGGGCUAGAAUGCAUUUUGACCGCGAGUGAAAGCUUGUUUUGUAGCAAUACACAAUUUGUAAGGUGCUGCAUGGCUGUCGUCGGGCUCGUGCCGUGAGGUGUUGGGUUAAGUCCGGCAAGCGAGCGCAACCCGUAUCGUUUAGUUGCCAUCAGGUAGAUGGUGGGAGCUGUAAAGAAACUGCCGUCGUAAGACGUGAGGAAGGAGGGGAUGAUGUCAAGUCAUCAUGCCCGUUAUGCCGUGGGCUACACACGUGUUACAAUGGCUAGGACAGUACGAUGCAAGACCGCAAGGUGGAGCGAACCGUCAAACCUAGCCUCAGUUCAGAUCGCAGGCUGCAACUCGCCUGCGUGAAGUCGGAAUCG